RNAcentral lists this ribosomal RNA (422 nucleotides) under uncultured bacterium. RNAcentral's name for it is "partial 16S ribosomal RNA". It matches the Rfam family "Bacterial small subunit ribosomal RNA", at positions 361 to 775 of the family's 1533-position model. The record is from RNAcentral.
AUAUUGGACAAUGGGCGAAAGCCUGAUCCAGACAUGCCGCGUGUGUGAAGGAGGUAUUCGGAUUGUAAAGCACUUUCAGUUGGGAGGAAGGGUUGUUGGCUAAUAUCCAGAAAUUUUUACGUUACUGACAGAAUACGCACCGGCUAACUCAGUCACAGCAGCCGAGGGAAUACAGAGGGUGCAAGCGUUAAUCGGAAUUACGGGGCGUAAAGCGCGCGUAGGUGGUUCAGUAAGAUGGGUGUGAAAUCCCCGGGCUUAACCUGGGAACUGCUUUCAUAACUGCUGAGCUAGAGUACGGUAGAGGGUAGUGGAAUUUCCUGUGUAGCGGUGAAAUGCGUAGAUAUAGGAAGGAACACCAGUGGCGAAGGCGACUACCUGGACUGAUACUGACACUGAGGUGCGAAAGCGUGGGGAGCAAACAG